UACGUAGGGGGCUAGCGUUGUCCGGAUUUAUUGGGCGUAAAGAGCGUGUAGGCGGCUGUGUAGGUCCGGUGUGAAAACUCGAGGCUUAACCUCGAGAUGUCAUCGGAAACCAUUUGGCUAGAGUCCGGAAGAGGAGAGUGGAAUUCCUGGUGUAGCGGUGAAAUGCGCAGAUAUCAGGAAGAACACCAAUGGCGAAAGCAGCUCUCUGGGACGGUACUGACGCUGAGACGCGAAAGCGUGGGGAGCGAACAGG
Molecule: ribosomal RNA, 253 nt
Filed under: uncultured bacterium
Lineage: Bacteria
Description: partial 16S ribosomal RNA
Rfam family: Bacterial small subunit ribosomal RNA
Source: RNAcentral